RNAcentral lists this ribosomal RNA (253 nucleotides) under uncultured bacterium. RNAcentral's name for it is "partial 16S ribosomal RNA". It matches the Rfam family "Bacterial small subunit ribosomal RNA", at positions 524 to 776 of the family's 1533-position model. The record is from RNAcentral.
UACGUAGGGGGCUAGCGUUGUCCGGAUUUAUUGGGCGUAAAGAGCGUGUAGGCGGCCAGGUAGGUCUGCUGUGAAAACUCGAGGCUCAACCUCGAGACGUCGGCGGAAACCAUCUGGCUAGAGUCCGGAUGAGGAGAGUGGAAUUCCUGGUGUAGCGGUGAAAUGCGCAGAUAUCAGGAAGAACACCCGUGGCGAAGGCGGCUCUCUGGGACGGUACUGACGCUGAGACGCGAAAGCGUGGGGAGCGAACAGG